Molecule: ribosomal RNA, 449 nt
Filed under: uncultured bacterium
Lineage: Bacteria
Description: partial 16S ribosomal RNA
Rfam family: Bacterial small subunit ribosomal RNA
Source: RNAcentral
AACGAACGCUGGCGGCAGGCUUAACACAUGCAAGUCGAACGCACCUUUCGGGGUGAGUGGCAGACGGGUGAGUAACGCGUGGGAAUCUACCCUUCCCUACGGGAUAGCUCCGGGAAACUGGAAUUAAUACCGUAUACGUCCUGAGGGAGAAAGAUUUAUCGGGGAAGGAUGAGCCCGCGUUGGAUUAGCUAGUUGGUGGGGUAAAGGCCUACCAAGGCGACGAUCCAUAGCUGGUCUAAGAGGAUGAUCAGCCACAUUGGGACUGAGACACGGCCCAAACUCCUACGGGAGGCAGCAGUGGGGAAUAUUGGACAAUGGGCGCAAGCCUUAUCCAGCCAUGCCGCGUGAGUGAUGAAGGCCCUAGGGUUGUAAAGCUCUUUCAGUGGGGACGAUAAUGACGGUACCCACAGAAGAAGCCCCGGCUAACUUCGUGCCAGCCGCCGCAGUAA